UACGGAGGAUGCAAGCGUUAUCCGGAAUGAUUGGGCGUAAAGAGUCCGUAGGUGGUGAUGCGUGUCUGCUGUCAAAGCUCAAGGCUUAACUUUGAAAAGGCAGUGGAAACUGCAUCACUAGAGGCAGGUAGGGGUAGAGGGAAUUCCCGGUGUAGCGGUGAAAUGCGUAGAGAUCGGGAAGAACACCAGCGGCGAAAGCGCUCUGCUAGACCUGAACUGACACUGAGGGACGAAAGCUAGGGGAGCGAAAGGG
Molecule: ribosomal RNA, 253 nt
Filed under: uncultured bacterium
Lineage: Bacteria
Description: partial 16S ribosomal RNA
Rfam family: Bacterial small subunit ribosomal RNA
Source: RNAcentral